RNAcentral lists this ribosomal RNA (301 nucleotides) under uncultured bacterium. Its description in RNAcentral is "partial 16S ribosomal RNA". It matches the Rfam family "Bacterial small subunit ribosomal RNA", at positions 509 to 807 of the family's 1533-position model. The record is from RNAcentral.
CAGUAGCCGCGGUAAUACAGAGGGUGCAAGCGUUAAUCGGAAUUACUGGGCGUAAAGCGCGCGUAGGUGGUUCGCCAAGUUGGAUGUGAAAUCCCCGGGCUCAACCUGGGAACUGCAUCCAAAACUGGCGAGCUAGAGUAUGGUAGAGGGUGGUGGAAUUUCCUGUGUAGCGGUGAAAUGCGUAGAUAUAGGAAGGAACAUCAGUGGCGAAGGCGACCACCUGGACUGAUACUGACACUGAGGUGCGAAAGCGUGGGGAGCAAACAGGAUUAGAGACCCCAGUAGUCCCUGUCUCUUAUAC